AUUGAACGCUGGCGGCAUGCCUUACACAUGCAAGUCGAACGGCAGCACGGGAGCAAUCCUGGUGGCGAGUGGCGAACGGGUGAGUAAUGUAUCGGAACGUACCUUUCAGUGGGGGAUAACGUAGCGAAAGUUACGCUAAUACCGCAUAUUCUGUGAGCAGGAAAGCAGGGGAUCGCAAGACCUUGCGCUGAUUGAGCGGCCGAUAUCAGAUUAGCUAGUUGGUGAGGUAAAGGCUCACCAAGGCGACGAUCUGUAGCGGGUCUGAGAGGAUGAUCCGCCACACUGGAACUGAGACACGGUCCAGACUCCUACGGGAGGCAGCAGUGGGGAAUUUUGGACAAUGGGCGCAAGCCUGAUCCAGCCAUGCCGCGUGAGUGAAGAAGGCCUCGGUUGU
This 394-nucleotide ribosomal RNA is filed under the name uncultured bacterium. RNAcentral's name for it is "bacterial SSU rRNA". It matches the Rfam family "Bacterial small subunit ribosomal RNA", at positions 30 to 426 of the family's 1533-position model. The record is from RNAcentral.